GACGAACGCUGGCGGCGUGCCUAAUACAUGCAAGUAGAACGCAGUUGCGAACGGGUGAGUAACGCGUAGGUAACUGCCUCAUAGCGGGGGAUACCUAUUGGCAACGAUUGCUAAUACCGCAUACUGUGAGUUGGACCUACGUUGUAUUAUGCAGUUGAUUAGGUAAAGGCUCAACAAGUCGACGAUACAUAGCCGACCUGAGGGGGUGAUCGGCAGACUGGGGAACUGGUGACGGACCAGACGCCUACGGGAGGCAGCAGGAGGAAAUCUUCGGGAAUGGACGGAAAUUUGACCGAGCAACGCCGCGUGAGUGAAGAAGGUUUUCGGAUCGUAAAGCUCUGUUGUUAGAGAAUCGGUAACUAACCAGAAAGGGACGGCUAACUACGUGCCAGCAGCCGCGGUAAUUC
Molecule: ribosomal RNA, 407 nt
Filed under: uncultured bacterium
Lineage: Bacteria
Description: partial 16S ribosomal RNA
Rfam family: Bacterial small subunit ribosomal RNA
Source: RNAcentral